GCAGUCGAGCGGACAGAUGGGAGCUUGCUCCCUGAUGUUAGCGGCGGACGGGUGAGUAACACGUGGGUAACCUGCCUGUAAGACUGGGAUAACUCCGGGAAACCGGGGCUAAUACCGGAUGGUUGUCUGAACCGCAUGGUUCAGACAUAAAAGGUGGCUUCGGCUACCACUUACAGAUGGACCCGCGGCGCAUUAGCUAGUUGGUGAGGUAACGGCUCACCAAGGCGACGAUGCGUAGCCGACCUGAGAGGGUGAUCGGCCACACUGGGACUGAGACACGGCCCAGACUCCUACGGGAGGCAGCAGUAGGGAAUCUUCCGCAAUGGACGAAAGUCUGACGGAGCAACGCCGCGUGAGUGAUGAAGGUUUUCGGAUCGUAAAGCUCUGUUGUUAGGGAAGAACAAGUGCCGUUCAAAUAGGGCGGCACCUUGACGGUACCUAACCAGAAAGCCACGGCUAACUACGUGCCAGCAGCCGCGGUAAUACGUAGGUGGCAAGCGUUGUCCGGAAUUAUUGGGCGUAAAGGGCUCGCAGGCGGUUUCUUAAGUCUGAUGUGAAAGCCCCCGGCUCAACCGGGGAGGGUCAUUGGAAACUGGGGAACUUGAGUGCAGAAGAGGAGAGUGGAAUUCCACGUGUAGCGGUGAAAUGCGUAGAGAUGUGGAGGAACACCAGUGGCGAAGGCGACUCUCUGGUCUGUAACUGACGCUGAGGAGCGAAAGCGUGGGGAGCGAACAGGAUUAGAUACCCUGGUAGUCCACGCCGUAAACGAUGAGUGCUAAGUGUUAGGGGGUUUCCGCCCCUUAGUGCUGCAGCUAACGCAUUAAGCACUCCGCCUGGGGAGUACGGUCGCAAGACUGAAACUCAAAGGAAUUGACGGGGGCCCGCACAAGCGGUGGAGCAUGUGGUUUAAUUCGAAGCAACGCGAAGAACCUUACCAGGUCUUGACAUCCUCUGACAAUCCUAGAGAUAGGACGUCCCCUUCGGGGGCAGAGUGACAGGUGGUGC
This 1005-nucleotide ribosomal RNA is filed under the name Bacillus subtilis. RNAcentral's name for it is "bacterial SSU rRNA". It matches the Rfam family "Bacterial small subunit ribosomal RNA", at positions 57 to 1044 of the family's 1533-position model. Lineage: Bacteria; Bacillati; Bacillota; Bacilli; Caryophanales; Bacillaceae. The record is from RNAcentral.